This 499-nucleotide ribosomal RNA is filed under the name uncultured bacterium. RNAcentral describes it as "bacterial SSU rRNA". It matches the Rfam family "Bacterial small subunit ribosomal RNA", at positions 30 to 524 of the family's 1533-position model. The record is from RNAcentral.
AUUGAACGCUGGCGGCAUGCCUUACACAUGCAAGUCGAACGGUAACAGGCCGCAAGGUGCUGACGAGUGGCGAACGGGUGAGUAACACAUCGGAACGUGCCUGAUAGUGGGGGAUAACUACUCGAAAGAGUAGCUAAUACCGCAUAAGAUCUCAGGAUGAAAGCAGGGGACCGCAAGGCCUUGCGCUAACAGAGCGGCCGAUGGCAGAUUAGGUAGUUGGUGGGAUAAAAGCUUACCAAGCCGACGAUCUGUAGCUGGUCUGAGAGGACGACCAGCCACACUGGGACUGAGACACGGCCCAGACUCCUACGGGAGGCAGCAGUGGGGAAUUUUGGACAAUGGGCGCAAGCCUGAUCCAGCAAUGCCGCGUGCAGGACGAAGGCCUUCGGGUUGUAAACUGCUUUGUACGGUAACGAAAAGCUACUGGUUAAUACCUGGGCCCAUGACGGUACCGUAAGAAUAAGACACCGGCUAACUACGUGCCAGCAGCCGCGGUAAU